UCCGGUUUGGCACCGGCAGUCUCCCAUGAGUCCCCGGCAUGACCCGCUGGCAACAUGGGACAGGGGUUGCGCUCGUUGCGCCACUUAAGGCAACACCUCACGGCACGAGCUGACGACAGCCAUGCAGCACCUGUGCGGGCUCCCGUAGGAGGACCGUGUUUCCACGGCUUCACCCCGCAUGUCAAGCCCUGGUAAGGUGGGGAUGACGUUCCAAGGUUGGUU
RNAcentral lists this unclassified non-coding RNA (222 nucleotides) under uncultured Actinomycetes bacterium. RNAcentral's name for it is "uncultured actinobacterium contains 16S-23S intergenic spacer region". Lineage: Bacteria; Bacillati; Actinomycetota; Actinomycetes. The record is from RNAcentral.